AGAGCGAGCGAGAGCGAGCACAGGCAGACAGAGUGGAAGGCAGAGUCAGAGGGAGAAGCAGGCUCCCUGCGGAGCAAGGAGCCCGAUGUGGGACUCGAUCCCAGGACGCUGGGAUCAUGACCUGAGCCGAAGGCAGCUGCUUAACCAACUCAGCCACCCAGGCGUCCCUACUUUGAUUUUUAGAUAUGAUUGAAGGAUAGGCCAGAAUGAUUUAUGUGAACAAUGAAAUUCUACUGAAUUUUUGUUCCCUUUUUCCUUUUUCUUUUUGAUAGUGGCUUUUAAAAUUCCUUUGGAAGAACUAUGAAUAUUUCCUCCAUAACUUAAGAUAAGGUUUUGUCAGUUUUGAGGGGCCUGGGUGGCUCAGUCGGUUAAGCAUCCAACUCUCGGUUUCAGUUCAGGUAGUGGUUGCAGGGUCCUGGGAUCAAGCCUCGGGUAGGGCUCCCCACUCAGCGUGGAGACUGCUUUAGAUUUUCUCUCCCUCUCCCUCUGCACCUUCUGCUUGUGCUUUCUCUCGCAAAUAAAUAGAAUCUUAAAAAAAAAGAUAAGGCUUUGCCAGUUUUUUUUUUUUUUUUUUUUUUUUAAGAUUUUAUUUAUUAGGGAGAGCUUGCAUAAGCACGGGGAGGGGCAGAGGGAGAAGCAGAGUCCUCACUGAACAGGGAGCCUUACACACUGCCUGACUCCAGAACCCCAGAAUCACAACCUGAGCUGAAGGCUGAUGUCUAACCAACUGAGCCAUGGAGGUGCCCCCAAGGUUUUGUCAGUUUCAAUUAAAAAAUAAAAAUCGAUGAAGUGAGCAGUGCUAACAUUUAUAAAGAUGAUUUCAGAACAGAUUGUACCUUACAAUGUUGUAUCUUUAAAAUUCAAGAUUAUGAUUUUUCCCAAGUGAUUAUUUUUACCUAUAUGGAAUGCAUACCCUAAUAUAGUACUUAGAGAGUGAAUUUUUAUUUUAUUUUCAUUUGAUUUUCUCCUCCACUGGGGCUGUGAGCUAAGUGGCCUCUCUGGUUCAUUGCUGCAGCAUAGGGUAGGGAUUGCAAGAGUAUUUGUUGAAUAAUGCAUGUUCAGAUGCAUGUGGAAAAUUGUGGAAGCCUUUUAAAAUUUACCAUCCUGUGAUUUUUAUUACUUUGUGCCUUAAAAUUCGUACUGGCUUAUAGAGCUAUAAGUGCUUUGUUUUGCGGAUCUGAAUUAUGUUGACCAGAAAUGUUCCGUUAAAGGGCAAUACUUUUAUCCAAGAUGGUAAUAAAAAUAUUCACCCACUGCUCCAGGAGAGACCCCACCUGAUUGGAAGGACAGCACCUGUCAGGCAUACCUGUGCUUUCUGCCUGAACAUCAGUUUCUCUAUACCUUGCAGAGCGCGGUGAGACUUUAGCCUCUUUAGUUAGUCUGAUCUUCUUGGGUUCUACUCCUGUGGGCUGUCAGCAGCAGAGUAGUUUUUUAUGGAAUAUCGCCGAAAGAGCAGUAUUUGAAAAGUGUUCUCUGCAGUGCCACCUGAGCUCAGGACAGUGGGGUGUUUGGUGACUUUUUUCUGGGUGGCCUCAGUCAUGGGAAGGGAGUGCAUUUGUUGAAGCUGGAGCUGUGGAAGUGACUGUGGAGGGAGUUUAGAGCAAAAUGGGUCAGCAAGAGGAGAGUUACAGGACAUCUCUGAACAAGUGAUGAGAUGACAUUGACCAUCACUUUGGUUUUGUACUGGGGCAGGAUCAGGACAGCAUGGACAGCCUUGGAGUGUGGGGCCGGGCAGCCAAAUGAUGAAGCUGAUGGGGUUCUAGGAGUAUGUGCACUGAACGCUCCUGUCCCUCACCCAGAACCAGACUGUCCACCACCUCUGUGUGGUUUCGUUUGGUUUUUAAAAUGCUCGUGUAUGUUACAUUUGCUUUACCAUUUAGAUGGGACAAAGAGAAAUUUAUAUUUUUAGAUUUUAGUGGGAAUUUCAUGUAAAUUGUCCGGUGAAGUUAACAAGUUAACAAGUUAACAAGGUCUUCCUGCGUACCAAGCCCCAUACUCAGUGGGGAGAGAAUAGAGCAGAACACUCUAGCACCAAGCCACUGGGAAUGGCUGCAUAGCAGUAUUUGUUGAAAGAACAAGCUAUGCAUGAUCAAGGAGGAGGGAAAAGGAAGACUAAAAUGAGAAUGAUCGGAGGCUUUUUAAGACUCAAAUUUACAACUCCAGCUAAAGUUUUCUGGGUAGUCAGCUUUUGGGGAAUCAUGAAAAUUGGAAGAAAUGGCAAAGAUACCUGAAAGAUAAAUGGCCCAUUCCAUUAAAGAAAGGUAGAUUCAGGGCCACUUCAACUGAUGUCUCAUGAUAACCCUAGCAAAUUCUCAUAUUAAAAAUUAUUAUUAUACUUUAAGAUUUUACUUAUUUAUUUGAGAGUACAGAGGGACAGUGAGAGGGAGAAGUAGACUCCCAGCUGAGCAGUGAGCCGGAUGUGGGACUUGAUCCCUGGGCCCUGGGAUCAUGACCUGAGCUGAAGGCAAACAUUUAACCUACUGAGCCACUCAGGGCCCUAAAAAUUGUUUUUAAGUGCAUAGCAAGGAAAGCAAUGAAGACUAAGGAGACACUAUAGGUUUACUAAGUGCAACUUGUUUAAAAAGGAAAACAAAAAUUAAUUGUGCAUUUAAUACGGUUUCUAGACUAAGUGGUCAGGGUGAAAUGUUGAUAUUUUUCCUGACUUCAUCAAGGUAUUUAACACCAUCUCUGAAAAUCUCCCUGAGUGCAAGAUGGCGUAACAUGGUCAUAUGAUAUGGUUUGAAUCACAGCCGGACUGUGGAACAGUUCCCACAGAGCUCUGACUUUAAUGGGCUGGUGUCAACUUGAAGGGAGCCUUGCCCUCUUAAGAUGUGGAGUAAAUUCAUGGUAGCACUGCGCUCUGAGGGGACACGAGUGCCGGGACGAGGGAAGACACUGCAGAAUGGCCUGGCUGGGAAGGUAGACUUUAACAGUUAGCUCGUUUUUGCAAAGUGAACUCACCCUUGAGGAUGAGGGGGGAGAGACUUGAAGUAGUAGAUACGGUAUCUUGGUUUGUUUUUGUGUGUGGUUUCUUUUUUUUUUUUAAGGCUUAGUAUUUUGUUUGGGUUUUGGUUGUUUUAAUUGCUUUUAGUCUCAGAGGGAGUUGGCCUGCACGAUAUGCCUGACAAAUAAGAAUCCCCUUCAUUGUUUGUGUUCUCAGUGACCAGAGUGAGGGAGGUAAAAAUCCCAUUGUGUUGGGUGGGCUGCAUCUGGAAUGGUGGCUUCAGAUGGGGGGGAAGAAGGGUGCUGUUAGGGAGCCCAUGAUGGCAGACUUCUCGGAGGAGGAAGAGCUUUCUGUGAGGCCCUUGGAGGAGGAAGGGGUGAAAACGCUGGGGCUGGCUAGUCUGGACUGUGGGGUCCCCUUUGGGGACAUCUCCAUCUCCCUGGCUUUGAGCAGCUUCUGGGUGGUAGAGGAGUUAGGUUUAUUCUCCUGGAUGCAUUUGAGGCAGAAACUGGUAGAAACUGGCCUGCAAGUUGAUGGAGGUAUGUGAGCAGAACUUGCAUGUGGGAGACAUUGAGUAGCAGCAGCUUUCUCUUGGGUUUCCAUUAAGUUUGAGACCAGUGACCGGAUUCAUGUCCUUUUCAUUACCACUUCAUUUAGGACUUGACCCCUAGCUCCUUGGAUCUUCUUUUAUAAAACCAGUUUAUUUUUGUUUUUAUUUUUAUAUUUUUCUUUCUGUUUUGAAACUUUUAAACCUAUAUAACAGCAAAAAUCUUCAUACAUUGAAAGACUUUUAUAUUGUUUCUUUGGAUUUGCCAGCUGUUAGCACUUUGCCAUAUUUGCUGUGCAGUUGUGUAUUUAUCCAUUUAUCUUUUUCUCUCUUGUUUUUUGGGCAUCUUCGAAAGUAAGCUAUGGUCAUCAGAGCAAUUUAACUCACUUAACUACUUCCUCAUCUAUCUCCUCUAAGUACAAGGACAUUGUCCUACAGAACCACAAUAGAGUUCUCCAACCCAAGAAAUUAUGUAAAUACAUUCCAUAUUCAGAUUUUUCUAGUUGUCUCCAGAAGCAUCUUUAAAACUUGAAGCCUUUGUUUACUUGCUUUUAUUUACUUAUCCAGAAUCUAGUCAUGACUUAACCUUGGAGUUCUUGACAUUUUGGAUUCCUAGCCCUAACCCUCUGGAGCAUCUGGUUCUUUUUUUUUAAGAUUUUAUUUAUUUAUUUGACAGGCAGAGAUCACAAGUAGGCAGAGAGGCGGAGAGAGAGAGGUGGAAGCAGGGUCCCUGCUGAGCAGAGAGCCUGAUGCGGGGCUCGAUCCCAGGACCCUGGGAUCAUGACCUGAGCCGAAGGCAGAGGCUUUAACCCACUGAGCCACCCAGGUACCCCGGGAGCAUAUGGUUCUUUAGGACUAGAUUGGGCCUGGACAUCUGUCUUUUCCUAAUUUUUUAAUAUGAAAAUAUUCAAACCUUCAAGACAGUUAUAAGAAAAGCUCAUUUAGAUUCACCAGUUGUUAAUAUUUUGAUACCUUUGUAUUCUCUAUUUGUCUCUCUAGAAAAACACAUCAUUUUAUUAAUUUUGCUGCUGAACAUUUCAAAGGUAAAUCGUAAUACUUUACCCCAUAAUACUUUAAGUCGUACUAACAUCCUUCAAAUUUUUUCCUCAGGAUGAGGAUAUCCUCCAACAUAGUCAGAAUGAACUUAUCACACUUGAGAAAUUUAACACCGCUUUAGUACUGUUACCUAACCUAAAGUCCAUAUUCAGAUUUUCCUAAUUUAUUCCAAUAAUGACUUUUCUUUUUAAAGAUUUUAUUUAUUUGACAGGGAGAGAUCACAAGUGGGCAGAGAGGCAAGCAGAGAGAGAGAGAGAGGAGGAAGCAGGCUUCCUGCAGAGCAGAGAGCCCGAUGUGGGACUCGAUCCCAGGACCCUGAGAUCAUGACCUGAGCCGAAGGCAGAGAGGCUUAACCCACUGAGCCACCCAGGUGCCCCUCCAGUAAUGACUUUAAACUGACCCUCCAGCCUACCUUUGAAUUCUUAAUGUCUAUUUUACAUGCAGAUUUGUUCCAUUAAAUUAUAUUCCGCCCCUCCAAGGCUCAUAGGUAAACUAUAUGCCUUCUCUGUAAAACGUGCUGCCUUUUGUGAUUUUCUAAAGAUUUUACCAUGUAUUCAAUGUGAAGAUUACAAUAAAGGGAAAUUUUUCGAUUUUUUCA
Long non-coding RNA from Mustela lutreola (European mink), 5145 nucleotides. RefSeq lists it as uncharacterized. The transcript is spliced from 2 exons. The record is from RefSeq and is a predicted model, not a curated record. NCBI's taxonomy places the organism in Eukaryota, Metazoa, Chordata, Mammalia, Carnivora, Mustelidae.